This 542-nucleotide ribosomal RNA is filed under the name uncultured bacterium. RNAcentral's name for it is "bacterial SSU rRNA". It matches the Rfam family "Bacterial small subunit ribosomal RNA", at positions 767 to 1308 of the family's 1533-position model. The record is from RNAcentral.
AGCUAAUAGAUACCCGGGUAGUCCACGCCCUAAACGAUGUCUACUAGUUGUUGGUGGAGUAAAAUCCAUGAGUAAACGCAGCUAAACGCGUGAAGUAGACCGCCUGGGGAGUACGGUCGCAAGAUUAAAACUCAAAGGAAUUGACGGGGGGCCCCGCACAAGCGGUGGAUUAUGUGGAUUAAAUUCGAUGCAACGCGAAAAACCUUACCUGGCCUUGACAUGCCACUAACGAAGCAGAGAUGCAUUAGGUGCCCGUAAGGGAAAGUGGACACAGGUGCUGCAUGGCUGUCGUCAGCUCGUGUCGUGAGAUGUUGGGUUAAGUCCCGCAACGAGCGCAACCCUUGCCAUUAAUUGCCAUCAUUUAGUUGGGCACUUUAAUGGGACUGCCGGUGACAAACCGGAGGAAGGUGGGGAUGACGUCAAGUCCUCAUGGCCCUUAUGGCCAGGGCUUCACACGUAAUACAAUGGUCGGUACAGAGAGUUGCCAACCCGCGAGGGGAGCUAAUCUCAGAAAGCCGAUCGUAGUCCGGAUUGUUCUCUGC